GUGAGGACGGCGUUGGCAGAGAGCCCGGUGCUGGUGGUGGGGAGGCGCGGGUGCUGCCUCAGCCAUUUGGUGAAGCGGCUGCUGCAGGGGCUCGGAGUGAACCCCGCCGUGCACGAGGUCGCCGAUGAGGCCGAGCUCGCCGCGGCGGUGGCCGGGAACACUGGAGGCGAGGUCGUCGUCGCGCUGCCGGCGGUGUUCAUCGGUGGGAGGCUCCUCGGCGGGCUCGACCGGCUCAUGGCCGUGCACAUCUCCGGCGAGCUCAUGCCCAUACUCAAGGACGCCGGCGCGCUCUGGCUCUGA
Molecule: ribosomal RNA, 300 nt
Filed under: Triticum aestivum (bread wheat)
Lineage: Eukaryota; Viridiplantae; Streptophyta; Magnoliopsida; Poales; Poaceae
Description: partial small subunit ribosomal RNA
Source: RNAcentral